AUUGAACGCUGGCGGCAUGCCUUACACGUGCAAGUCGAACGGCAGCACGGGAGCAAUCCUGGUGGCGAGUGGCGAACGGGUGAGUAAUACAUCGGAACGUGCCCAGUCGUGGGGGAUAACGUAGCGAAAGUUACGCUAAUACCGCAUACGAUCUAUGGCUGAAAGCGGGGGAUCGCAAGACCGCGCGCGAUUGGAGCGGCCGAUGGCAGAUUAGGUUGUUGGUGGGGUAAUGGCUUACCAAGCCUCCGAUCUGUAGCUGGUCUGAGAGGACGAUCAGCCACACUGGGACUGAGACACGGCCCAGACUCCUACGGGAGGCAGCAGUGGGGAAUUUUGGACAAUGGGCGAAAGCCUGAUCCAGCAAUGCCGCGUGCAGGACGAAGGCCUUCGGGUUGUAAACUGCUUUUGUACGGAGCGAAACGGCUCUCACUAAUACUGGGGGCUAAUGACGGUACCGUAAGAAUAAGCACCGGUUAACUACGUGCCAGCAGCCGCAGUAA
RNAcentral lists this ribosomal RNA (500 nucleotides) under uncultured bacterium. Its description in RNAcentral is "partial 16S ribosomal RNA". It matches the Rfam family "Bacterial small subunit ribosomal RNA", at positions 30 to 523 of the family's 1533-position model. The record is from RNAcentral.